Long non-coding RNA from Talpa occidentalis (Iberian mole), 1090 nucleotides. RefSeq lists it as uncharacterized. The record is from RefSeq and is a predicted model, not a curated record. The transcript is spliced from 3 exons. NCBI's taxonomy places the organism in Eukaryota, Metazoa, Chordata, Mammalia, Eulipotyphla, Talpidae.
GUCAGUUAGUUACCAACAGAUGCCUGUAGAUACUAUAAAAAUAACCGCUUUUAUCCCCCUAUUUUCAGUGACAUAAACUAAUUAUUUCAAAAAUAAUGCUUGCUAUUUUGCAACAUUCUUGUACAAUAGCUAAUAAAUAACUUGGAAAACACUCAUCUUCAAUUAACUGCACUGAAUUGGAUGUACAGUUUGGAAGGACCGGGGAGAUGAUCACCUUCCGUAUUGAGUGCGUUACCUCAGCCUUCACAUCAGAUUUCAUGCCCAUUUCCACCCUCUUCUGACCAAAUAGAAGGACUGGGUUAAAACAUCACAAAGGAGGUAAAAGAUCUGUACAAUGAAAACUAAGACAUUGUUAUAAUAAAUAAGACACAAGAAAUGGAAAGACAUUCCCUGCUCAUGGAUUGGAAGAAUUUACAUUGUUAAAAUGGCCAUCUCGCCCAAAGCAAUAUACAGAAUCAAUGCAAUACUAAUCAAAGCUUCAAUGGCAUUCUUCAAAGAAAUAGAUCAUUACUGAAAUUUAUAUGAACCACAAAAGACCUUGAAUAGCCAAGGCAAUCCUUACAACAAAAGAGCAGUUCUACCUAAGGCUUUCAGUUUACAUUCUGAAGAGUCAUGGAUCCAACCCAGGACAUGAAAUACAGAAUGAUGAUAUUUGCCACCACUACCAUUAGCACUGUCACCAUCAACACCACCAUUAUCACCAUAACCACCACCAGCAACAUCAUCAUCAUGAAGGCUAUUGUUUCUCGAGGACCAGUGUGUCCCAGUUAUCAUGUUGGGGCUUUCCAUAUCUGUUCUGUUUAUAUUCUCACAGAAAUCCUAUGAACCUGGAAUUCUCCCUCCUUUCUCCUACUUUAUGAAGAUGAUGAGGUGCUAAGGAAUUGAAUACCUCACCUAAGGUCAUCACUGAAGAACCUAAGAGCCAGGUUCAGACCAAGGAUUGUCUGACUCCAAGUCUGACCUAUUUUCCCUGCAGCAUGCCCUUGAUCAAUUUGGGAAAUGGAGGUGGGGGGAAGUUACAGAUUAUGUAACCAGCCUUGGAGAGUCGGGCAUAGUCUCUGUAUGGUGGUGCAUUGCUAUCAUUUUGUCU